GCCGUGAUCGUAUAGUGGUUAGUAGAUUGCGUUGAGGCAGCAGUAACCCAGGUUCGAUUCCUGGUCACGGCA
Non-coding RNA from Nematostella vectensis (starlet sea anemone), 72 nucleotides. The record is from Rfam. Lineage: Eukaryota; Metazoa; Cnidaria; Anthozoa; Actiniaria; Edwardsiidae.